UACGUAGGUGGCAAGCGUUGUCCGGAUUUACUGGGCGUAAAGGGCGCGUAGGCGGUCGUGACAAGUCACUUGUGAAAUCUCCGGGCUUAACUCGGAACGGUCAAGUGAUACUGUCGGACUAGAGUACAGAAGGGGCAACUGGAAUUCUCGGUGUAGCGGUGAAAUGCGUAGAUAUCGAGAGGAACACCUGCGGCGAGGGCGGGUUGCUGGGCUGAUACUGACGCUGAGGCGCGAAAGCCAGGGGAGCGAACGGG
RNAcentral lists this ribosomal RNA (254 nucleotides) under uncultured bacterium. RNAcentral describes it as "partial 16S ribosomal RNA". It matches the Rfam family "Bacterial small subunit ribosomal RNA", at positions 524 to 776 of the family's 1533-position model. The record is from RNAcentral.